AUGGUAUCAAAAACAAAGCAACUCUUAUCCUUGAGAGGAUUGAGAGGUGCCUCUUGCAAGGAUUUCCCUGAGAGGAAAAGUCUCUUCUCCAUGUGUUUCGGGAUUGCAUUAUUGCAAAACCUAUGUGGUUGUACUUGGUUGCAAAUAAAAAGCCCUCAAAGUUCUACAACCAAAUUGAUUAAAGUUAAAGCGAAAAGGGCAUUUGAAGCAAAGAUUGUGGAUUGCGGCUGA
Molecule: non-coding RNA, 231 nt
Organism: Vicia faba (fava bean)
Lineage: Eukaryota; Viridiplantae; Streptophyta; Magnoliopsida; Fabales; Fabaceae
Source: the annotation of a GenBank genome assembly